RNAcentral lists this ribosomal RNA (547 nucleotides) under Debaryomyces hansenii. Its description in RNAcentral is "eukaryotic LSU rRNA". It matches the Rfam family "Eukaryotic large subunit ribosomal RNA", at positions 93 to 656 of the family's 3401-position model. Lineage: Eukaryota; Fungi; Ascomycota; Pichiomycetes; Serinales; Debaryomycetaceae. The record is from RNAcentral.
GUGAGCGGCAAAAGCUCAAAUUUGAAAUCUGGCACCUUCGGUGUCCGAGUUGUAAUUUGAAGAAGGUAACUUUGGAGUUGGCUCUUGUCUAUGUUCCUUGGAACAGGACGUCACAGAGGGUGAGAAUCCCGUGCGAUGAGAUGCCCAAUUCUAUGUAAAGUGCUUUCGAAGAGUCGAGUUGUUUGGGAAUGCAGCUCUAAGUGGGUGGUAAAUUCCAUCUAAAGCUAAAUAUUGGCGAGAGACCGAUAGCGAACAAGUACAGUGAUGGAAAGAUGAAAAGAACUUUGAAAAGAGAGUGAAAAAGUACGUGAAAUUGUUGAAAGGGAAGGGCUUGAGAUCAGACUUGGUAUUUUGCGAUCCUUUCCUUCUUGGUUGGGUUCCUCGCAGCUUACUGGGCCAGCAUCGGUUUGGAUGGUAGGAUAAUGACUAAGGAAUGUGGCUCUACUUCGGUGGAGUGUUAUAGCCUUGGUUGAUACUGCCUGUCUAGACCGAGGACUGCGUCUUUUGACUAGGAUGUUGGCAUAAUGAUCUUAAGCCACCCGUCUUG